CAGGCCUAACCAUGCAAGUCUACGAGAAAAGAGUAGCAAUAUUCUGAGUAAAGUGGCGCCGGGUGCGUAACACGUAAGCAAUCUACCUUUGGGUUCGGAAUAACUCCGGAAAUCGGGGCUAAUACCGGAUGAUGCAGCGGCACCGCAUGGUGAUGUUUUAAAGUUCUUGUAACGCCUAUAGAUGAGCUUGCGUCUGAUUAGCUAGUGGUGAGGUAAAGGCCCACCAAGGCUACGAUCAGUAGCUGGUCUGAGAGGUGAUCAGCCACACUGGAACUGAGACACGGUCCAGACUCCUACGGGAGGCGCAGUGAGGAAUAUUGGGCAAUGGUCGAAAGACUGACCCAGCAACGCCGGUGGAGGAUGAAUGUCGUAAGAUUGUAAACUCCUGUUAGAGGGGAAGAAAGCUCCGAUCGCAUCGGAGUUUGACUGUACCCUCAGAGAAAGCCCCGGCAACUACGUGCCAGCAGCCGCGG
Molecule: ribosomal RNA, 473 nt
Filed under: uncultured bacterium
Lineage: Bacteria
Description: bacterial SSU rRNA
Rfam family: Bacterial small subunit ribosomal RNA
Source: RNAcentral